CUGCGCGCUCACUCGCUUGCUUGCGCUGGGCUUCAGGGCGCCCGGGUUUUUCUGUGGACCUAAAUUUUCAUUUCUCUGGGAUAAAUGUCCAGGAGUGUGAUUGCUGGGUCAUAUGGUGUCACAUGCCAUUCUUCUGAUUUUCAUGAAUAUCCUCUAAAAGGCAGCUAAGCACUCGCUGUCUUCUUCCUUUUGCCUCAUCAAGCACGGGGGACGCUGGAAGGAAGAGGCAUCAACAGUGAGAACUGGGCAAAGCACAUGAGAUGUCUAAGAUCUGCCAGGAAAAGGACCAUGAAGGACUUGCCUGUGGUCAAGAAUCUACAUCUCAGUAUUUGUACAGUUGAGCCGAAAUGCCUGUUCUAACAAAGAGAGCCUGGGUAAGUGUGCAUGCUCCAUUGCCUGACAGGUAUAAAGCAGUGGUUUUCAACUUCAAUGUGCCGCAGAAUCACUUGAAGAACUUCUAGCCUAAAAGAAUCAAAGAACUAUAUAAUUUCGAGAGAACACAAGAUGCCAAAAUUUUCCUAGUGUAGAUGGCUCAAUCAGUGUUGAUUGAACUAUCCACACUAGAAAUUAAGUGAAAUUGAGGGACUAUUCUUAAAUGUAAAUAUUUUUCUAAUAUAGGUUUUUAGAGAUUGCUGACUUGAUGUAUUUAGGAACUCAAAGCAAAUAGAGUCUUCUGGAGUAAUAGAUAAGCAUUAGAAAACACUAGGUCUACCUGGCCGAAUGAAUGGAUUCACAAAGGGGGGUGGUAUAUAAAUGAAAUAUACUUAACUGAUCUUGAACUACGUCGAGAUCCACUGCACUGAAGAUUCCCCUUGGCUCU
This 820-nucleotide long non-coding RNA is filed under the name Homo sapiens (human). Its description in RNAcentral is "lncRNA bladder and prostate cancer suppressor, hnRNPK interacting". The record is from RNAcentral. Lineage: Eukaryota; Metazoa; Chordata; Mammalia; Primates; Hominidae.